Molecule: ribosomal RNA, 406 nt
Filed under: uncultured bacterium
Lineage: Bacteria
Description: partial 16S ribosomal RNA
Rfam family: Bacterial small subunit ribosomal RNA
Source: RNAcentral
AUUGAACGCUGGCGGCAGGCCUAACACAUGCAAGUCGAGCGAGCGGCGGACGGGUGAGUAAUGUAUGGGGAUCUGCCCGAUAUAGGGGGAUAACUACUGGAAACGGUGGCUAAUACCGCAUACUAUCGGAUGAACCUAUAGUGGAUUAGCUAGUCGGUGGGGUAAAGGCUCACCUAGGCGACGAUCUCUAGCUGGUCUGAGAGGAUGAUCAGCCACACUGGGACUGAGACACGGCCCAGACUCCGACGGGAGGCAGCAGUGGGGAAUAUUGCGCAAGGGGCGAAAGCCUGAUGCAGCAAUGCCGCGUGUAUGAAGAAGGCCUUCGGUUUGUAAAGCUCUUUCAUCGGGGAGGCGUUACCCGAAGAGGAAGCCACGGCUAACUCCGUGCCAGCAGCCGCGGUAAUAC